UACAGAGGUCUCAAGCGUUGUUCGGAUUCAUUGGGCGUAAAGGGUGCGUAGGUGGCGCGCUAAGUCAGGUGUGAAAUCUCGGGGCUUAACUCCGAAACUGCAUUCGAUACUGCCGUGCUUGAGGACUGGAGAGGAGACUGGAAUUUACGGUGUAGCGGUGAAAUGCGUAGAUAUCGUAAGGAAGACCAGUGGCGAAGGCGGGUCUCUGGACAGUUCCUGACGCUGAGGCACGAAGGUCAGGGGAGCAAACGGG
Molecule: ribosomal RNA, 253 nt
Filed under: uncultured bacterium
Lineage: Bacteria
Description: partial 16S ribosomal RNA
Rfam family: Bacterial small subunit ribosomal RNA
Source: RNAcentral